Sebastes umbrosus (honeycomb rockfish) is the source of this 613-nucleotide long non-coding RNA. RefSeq lists it as uncharacterized. Lineage: Eukaryota; Metazoa; Chordata; Actinopteri; Perciformes; Sebastidae. The transcript has 4 exons. The record is from RefSeq and is a predicted model, not a curated record.
UAACGGUUUGUUUUUCUCUCAUUGUGGUGACUUAGCUACCUGGAGCUAAAAGACUUCACCAACCAUAGCUACCAUGGUUUUAACAGAAAGCAGCAGGCAUGGAGGCAAAUUAGUGCGCUACUUGAGAUUUUGGGAAGAGCACGCAAUGAGGAAGAGUGGGAAUGAGUUGGAGUCGCUGAGGUCCAGAGCCACCGGGAAAGAGGAUUGCUUUCACCUUACAUAAACAGAUUGGAACCUCUUGGGAGCGUGUUGCUUUCAGGAAGCCUUAAAAUGAGUGGUGUUCCAGAAAAGAAAGAGAUGGACAACAUGUGUACUAAAAUAUACACAUUUUACUGCAGCUAUCGGGACAUGCCAGCUCACAGUACAGCUACUGUGGUAUUGUGCUUGCAACGCAAAACAUUGAGUAUCAUCCUUUUGUUUUCUCUAAGGAGGGACGUGGGUUCAGAUAGCAGCAAGGAGAGAGAGAUGGGAUAAAAGGGAGUACAUCCUCCAUGAUCACAUGAAAGAAAGUGCAUUGUAGUUUUCACCAUCACAGCAUAUUACACACUCUCCUCGCAUCCCCGUGGUGUUUACAGUAACCUUGUGCACAAGGAGUAGAAAAUACAACGCAAAA